Molecule: ribosomal RNA, 253 nt
Filed under: uncultured bacterium
Lineage: Bacteria
Description: partial 16S ribosomal RNA
Rfam family: Bacterial small subunit ribosomal RNA
Source: RNAcentral
UACGGGGGGGGCAAGCGUUGUUCGGAAUUACUGGGCGUAAAGGGCUCGUAGGCGGCCAACUAAGUCAGACGUGAAAUCCCUCAGCUUAACUGGGGAACUGCGUCUGAUACUGGAUGGCUUGGAUUCGGGAGAGGAAUGCGGAAUUCCAGGUGUAGCGGUGAAAUGCGUAGAUAUCUGGAGGAACACCGGUGGCGAAGGCGGCAUUCUGGACCGAUAUUGACGCUGAGGAGCGAAAGCCAGGGGAGCAAACAGG